GGCUGGGAGGACCCGCGGGCGCGCGGGGCCGCGAGACUCACCUUGCUGCUGGGAUCCAUGGCGCGCUGCGUUGGUGACUCUGGCAACGCCGGGUGCGCGGGCGGCGCUCUUGGGAUCAGGCUCUUGUUCCGGCUCCGGCUUCUGUUCCGGCCCCGAGACUCAGAUUCAGACUCGGGCUCCGACUCCGGUCGUUGUCUUCCCGCUCCCUGGCGCUCUCACUCGGGGAACACGCGACCCACGUUCCACCCGCUCGACUGUGCCGCUUCUUGCCGGCGAGCGCGCGGACGGUGGCGUUUAUAGGACCCCGCGGGCCCUCAGAUGACUACCUUACUUGAGACACAGUGAAGGGGAGGAACCCAAUCCAAAGUCCUGGCCAAAGCCCUGAGGUACCAGGGGCCGUCAAGUCCUGCUGAUUCCACCUUUUACACUGUCUCAGCCUUCUUCCUCCCCUGCUCCUGUGGUCUCACCUCCAGUCGUGGACCCUGUCACUCUCCUGCUCAGACCUCUGACAUUGUCAUGCAGGGAACAAGGCUUAAGCCUGGCCAUUGAGAUUCUUCUUCAGGACACCACUUCAUACACUCAUCCUCACCUUGCACCUCUCACGCCAGUCAUUUACGACAUCUAUAACCCUGCUCAGGUUGUUUGCUCUACUUUCACCUUGACAUGCCCAAAUGCUUCUGUCUGGGCAAGGACCCCUGGAAUGGCUCCUCCUCUGGGAAGUGUCCUUGAUUUCCCCAAGUGGGAACCUUUCUGUACUUUAUCCUUUAGUGUUUCUUAGUAUGCUGCUUGACCUUGGUUUGUCUGUCUUCCCCUAGACUGUGAGCUCCAUGAGGACAUCUGUUGCUGAGGCCCAUGGAUGCACGAGUGCAGGAAUGAACGAAUGAGCAGCUAGUCUGCCUGUUUCUAGUUUGCUUUCCCCUCCAGUCCUUCAAGCCAUAUGCUUCCAGUUCUUCCCUUAGUACCUUUUGGGCUUUGGCACUUCCCUGCUCAAAGUUUCUCAAUAGCUUCCUAUUUCCUAGCACAUCCAGUCUACUGUGGACUCGCCUUUAGCUGUGGGGCCCCACCCAGCCAUGGUCACAGGCACUACACAGGUGCCUUUUCCUUCUCCAGGCUGGCCCUGUGCUGGCCACUUCCCCAGGGACAGAGGAAUGCAAGCCUAUUGCUAGCCUCAUGGAGACCCCAGACUGGAGGGAAAGCAAGGGGGUAGACAUCAACAACAAUGCCAAGUCGAAUGUGCAGGGAUAAUACUGUGAGAGAGAGCACUUUGGGGCAGGGGUGGGGGGU
Molecule: long non-coding RNA, 1284 nt
Organism: Choloepus didactylus (southern two-toed sloth)
Lineage: Eukaryota; Metazoa; Chordata; Mammalia; Pilosa; Megalonychidae
Exons: 3
Source: RefSeq, a predicted model, not a curated record